Molecule: ribosomal RNA, 244 nt
Filed under: uncultured bacterium
Lineage: Bacteria
Description: partial 16S ribosomal RNA
Rfam family: Bacterial small subunit ribosomal RNA
Source: RNAcentral
GAGUAAUGUCUGGGAAACUGCCUGAUGGAGGGGGAUAACUACUGGAAACGGUAGCUAAUACCGCAUAAUGUCGCAAGACCAAAGAGGGGGACCUUCGGGCCUCUUGCCAUCGGAUGUGCCCAGAUGGGAUUAGCUUGUUGGUGGGGUAACGGCUCACCAAGGCGACGAUCCCUAGCUGGUCUGAGAGGAUGACCAGCCACACUGGAACUGAGACACGGUCCAGACUCCUACGGGAGGCAGCAUG